Transfer RNA from Phanerochaete carnosa HHB-10118-sp, 88 nucleotides. It matches the Rfam family "tRNA". Rfam says of the family: Transfer RNA (tRNA) molecules are approximately 80 nucleotides in length. Their secondary structure includes four short double-helical elements and three loops (D, anti-codon, and T loops). The record is from Rfam. Lineage: Eukaryota; Fungi; Basidiomycota; Agaricomycetes; Polyporales; Phanerochaetaceae.
GGGCACAUGGUGUAGUUGGUUAUCACAUCCGCUUAGCACAUAGUUUGUGAAAUGCGGAAGGUGCUGGGUUCAAUUCCCAGUGUGUCCA